RNAcentral lists this ribosomal RNA (253 nucleotides) under uncultured bacterium. RNAcentral's name for it is "partial 16S ribosomal RNA". It matches the Rfam family "Bacterial small subunit ribosomal RNA", at positions 524 to 776 of the family's 1533-position model. The record is from RNAcentral.
UACGGAGGGUGCAAGCGUUGUCCGGAUUUAUUGGGUUUAAAGGGUGCGUAGGCGGCCCGUUAAGUCAGUGGUGAAAGCCUCCAGCUCAACUGGAGAACUGCCAUUGAUACUGACGGGCUUGAGUACAGACGAGGUUGGCGGAAUUGAUUGUGUAGCGGUGAAAUGCAUAGAUACAAUCAAGAACACCGAUUGCGGAGGCAGCUAACUAGGCUGUAACUGACGCUGAGGCACGAAAGCGUGGGGAGCGAACAGG